RNAcentral lists this ribosomal RNA (313 nucleotides) under uncultured eukaryote. RNAcentral describes it as "partial 18S ribosomal RNA". It matches the Rfam family "Eukaryotic small subunit ribosomal RNA", at positions 1470 to 1796 of the family's 1831-position model. The record is from RNAcentral.
CCCUUAGAUGUUCUGGGCCGCACACGCGCUACAAUGGCAAAGUCAACGAGCUAAUCCUAUGCUGACAAGCACAGGUAAUCUUUUCAGUCUUUGUCGUGAUGGGGAUAGACCCUUGUAAUUAUUGGUCUCCAACGAGGAAUUCCUAGUAAACGCAAGUCAUCAACUUGCAUUGAUUACGUCCCUGCCCUUUGUACACACCGCCCGUCACACCUACCGAUUGAAUGGUCCGGUGAAGUCUUCGGACCGAUGCUAACUCGUUGGCAACGGAAAGUCGAGUAAACCUUACCAUUUAGAGGAAGGUGAAGUCGUAACA